GUCGGGGACGGGCGGGGGAUUGGUCUGGAUGGUGGCGCAGCCCACCCGGGAGCUGCUAGCUCUCAGCUCGGGGUCCGGACAGACUCCAGGUGGGGUGGUGGGGUACAGGGAUUCCGCCGUUUAGUUUGGAGGCGACAGAAGGCAAUCCUAUGAAGUCUACCUCUGUGAGAGCCUAGAUUUUUGCCUCUGAGAGAUUAUUUAUCCGUCCAUCCAUCCAUCCAUCCAUCCAUCCAUCCAUCCAUCCAUCCAUCCAUCCCUCCCUCCAUCCAUCCCUCCAUUUAUCUGUCCACUCGUCUCUUUUCUUGCUCUUACGACCACGUUUUGAUAGAGGCUUUGCAACUGAAAAUAAAUAAAUAAUAAAUAGAACAAAGCUCUAAAGAAAAGAAGAAAAAUUCCCAGUGCUAAAGACAUCACUGAACGAAUAUUUUUCUUUCUCUCUUUCUGCUCCCCCCUUCUAUCUACCCAUUGAUUGAAAGUCUCUCUCAGCUCCAACAAGGAGUCCCAGGAAAAAUGAACCAUUCUGCUAUCGAUUCUUCAUUAAAAUUACAUUUCUGCAUUUGCUAAAUUGGUUUUAAAAAGCUUCCCCUGUUAUUAUUGUCUUGUCAGAGCCGGCGGUGCUGGGCAAACAGUAUUUAAAAGCUUGGGACCUCUCCAAGAUGAGGCUGUUGGGGGUUAUGUGUGUGCAUGUGUUUCUUUUUCUAAAGUGUUUAGGAAAAUGUUAACAACGCAGACUGGUGAAAAGCACGCCCAAGACAAGUGGAGGAUUGUAAAAAUAAGGAAGGUGGAGGGAAUGCUUUCCUUCAUAUCACUUAAAAAUCAUCGAUUGCCUCUUCAAGCAAAGGGAAAAAAAAAGUUUCAUUUAAAAUAGUAAAAUGGGGCACCAAAAGUCAAUAAUUGCAGCAAGGAGUAUUUGCCUCAGACGCCGUCUCCAGCCCGGUGUGCAGCAGCCGCCGGAUCUGUCUGGAGUGGUUCCUCACCUCCCUGCAGCCCGAACUCAGCUCGCAGCCGCGCUGAAAUGCUUCCUCGCAAACUGGUGCCCCACGAAUGGUUAUAGCGUACCUGUUUGGCUCUACACCAUCUCUAUACACGUGAAUCUCUGCUCUUUACCCUGCCGACACGUUGGACGCCCACCCUCGCCUUUGCUCCCGAGGGGACGCCAAGCAUUAUCCAAACACCUUCCCCUUCUGUGGUGGGACCCCCGGCGUUUCUUCUCCUGCGAAAACCCUCGGCAGCAGCUCGGUGCGUUGCCUGCCCUGGACGCCUGUUCCUCCGUGGGCAGUAGCCGUGCGACUGUGACUACGGGAAAAGUGUUCUACGACACAUAUUUUAAUAUCAAUUUCCAUAUUAAUCAAUCACCUCAAACAUCUAUCUGCUGGAUAAAGGAAAUAGUUCGCAUUCCGA
Molecule: long non-coding RNA, 1401 nt
Filed under: Parus major (Great Tit)
Lineage: Eukaryota; Metazoa; Chordata; Aves; Passeriformes; Paridae
Description: lncRNA (ENSPMJG00000015526.1)
Source: RNAcentral